RNAcentral lists this ribosomal RNA (497 nucleotides) under uncultured bacterium. Its description in RNAcentral is "partial 16S ribosomal RNA". It matches the Rfam family "Bacterial small subunit ribosomal RNA", at positions 28 to 507 of the family's 1533-position model. The record is from RNAcentral.
GAUGAACGCUGGCGGCGUGCCUAAUACAUGCAAGUCGAGCGAACAGACGAGGAGCUUGCUCCUCUGACGUUAGCGGCGGACGGGUGAGUAACACGUGGAUAACCUACCUAUAAUACUGGGAUAACUUCGGGAAACCGGAGCUAAUACCGGAUAAUAUAUUGAACCGCAUGGUUCAAUAGUGAAAGACGGUUUUGCUGUCACUUAUAGAUGGAUCCGCGCCGCAUUAGCUAGUUGGUAAGGUAACGGCUUACCAAGGCAACGAUGCGUAGCCGACCUGAGAGGGUGAUCGGCCACACUGGAACUGAGACACGGUCCAGACUCCUACGGGAGGCAGCAGUAGGGAAUCUUCCGCAAUGGGCGAAAGCCUGACGGAGCAACGCCGCGUGAGUGAUGAAGGUCUUCGGAUCGUAAAACUCUGUUAUUAGGGAAGAACAAAUGUGUAAGUAACUAUGCACGUCUUGACGGUACCUAAUCAGAAAGCCACGGCUAGCUACGUG